RNAcentral lists this ribosomal RNA (883 nucleotides) under Escherichia coli. RNAcentral's name for it is "partial 23S ribosomal RNA". It matches the Rfam family "Bacterial large subunit ribosomal RNA", at positions 2052 to 2925 of the family's 2925-position model. Lineage: Bacteria; Pseudomonadati; Pseudomonadota; Gammaproteobacteria; Enterobacterales; Enterobacteriaceae. The record is from RNAcentral.
UGUGAAGAUGCAGUGUACCCGCGGCAAGACGGAAAGACCCCGUGAACCUUUACUAUAGCUUGACACUGAACAUUGAGCCUUGAUGUGUAGGAUAGGUGGGAGGCUUUGAAGUGUGGACGCCAGUCUGCAUGGAGCCGACCUUGAAAUACCACCCUUUAAUGUUUGAUGUUCUAACGUAGGCCCCUUAUCGGGGUUGCGGACAGUGUCUGGUGGGUAGUUUGACUGGGGCGGUCUCCUCCUAAAGAGUAACGGAGGAGCACGAAGGUUGGCUAAUCCUGGUCGGACAUCAGGAGGUUAGUGCAAUGGCAUAAGCCAGCUUGACUGCGAGCGUGACGGCGCGAGCAGGUGCGAAAGCAGGUCAUAGUGAUCCGGUGGUUCUGAAUGGAAGGGCCAUCGCUCAACGGAUAAAAGGUACUCCGGGGAUAACAGGCUGAUACCGCCCAAGAGUUCAUAUCGACGGCGGUGUUUGGCACCUCGAUGUCGGCUCAUCACAUCCUGGGGCUGAAGUAGGUCCCAAGGGUAUGGCUGUUCGCCAUUUAAAGUGGUACGCGAGCUGGGUUUAGAACGUCGUGAGACAGUUCGGUCCCUAUCUGCCGUGGGCGCUGGAGAACUGAGGGGGGCUGCUCCUAGUACGAGAGGACCGGAGUGGACGCAUCACUGGUGUUCGGGUUGUCAUGCCAAUGGCACUGCCCGGUAGCUAAAUGCGGAAGAGAUAAGUGCUGAAAGCAUCUAAGCACGAAACUUGCCCCGAGAUGAGUUCUCCCUGACCCUUUAAGGGUCCUGAAGGAACGUUGAAGACGACGACGUUGAUAGGCCGGGUGUGUAAGCGCAGCGAUGCGUUGAGCUAACCGGUACUAAUGAACCGUGAGGCUUAACCUUACAA